RNAcentral lists this ribosomal RNA (439 nucleotides) under uncultured Sedimentibacter sp. RNAcentral's name for it is "bacterial SSU rRNA". It matches the Rfam family "Bacterial small subunit ribosomal RNA", at positions 338 to 795 of the family's 1533-position model. Lineage: Bacteria; Bacillati; Bacillota; Tissierellia. The record is from RNAcentral.
CCUACGGGUGGCUGCAGUGGGGAAUAUUGCACAAUGGAGGAAACUCUGAUGCAGCGACGCCGCGUGAGUGAAGAAGGUCUUCGGAUCGUAAAACUCUGUCCUUGGUGAAGAUAAUGACGGUAGCCAAGGAGGAAGCCCCGGCUAACUACGUGCCAGCAGCCGCGGUAAUACGUAGGGGGCGAGCGUUGUCCGGAUUUACUGGGCGUAAAGGGUGAGUAGGCGGUUAUAUAUGUCAGGUGUAAAAGAUCAUGGCUUAACCAUGGUUAGCACUUGAAACUGUAUGACUUGAGUGCAGGAGAGGUAAGCGGAAUUCCUAGUGUAGCGGUGAAAUGCGUAGAUAUUAGGAGGAACACCAGUGGCGAAGGCGGCUUACUGGACUGCAACUGACGCUGAGUCACGAAAGCGUGGGUAGCAAACAGGAUUAGAUACCCCAGUAGUC